UAACUGUUUCACUAGUGGCUGCAAACUCUGAAGACCCCUUCCCUUCCCUUCCCUUCCCUUCCCUUCCCUUCCCAAACCUUCCCAAACCUUCCCAAACCUUCCCAAACCUUCCCAAACCUUCCCUUCCCUUUUUCCCUUUUUCCCUUUUUCCCUUUUUCCCUCUUUUUUCCCUCUUUUUUCCCUUUUUUCCCUUUUUUCCUUUCCCCAUUUCUUCCAUUUCCCUUUUCCUCUUUUCCCCUUUUCCCAUUUCCUUUUUCUUAUUUUCCCCUCCCCAUUUUCCCUUUUUUUCCCCUUUUUUCCCAUUCCCAUUUCCGCCAUUCCCAUUCCCCUUUCUCAAUCCCAUUCCCGUUUUCCCCAUUUUUCCAUUUCCCAUUUUCCCCAUUCCCUGUUUUCCCCCAUUCCCAUUUUCCCCUUUUUUCCCAUUUUCCCCAUUCCCAUUUCCCUUUCUCAUCCCCAUUCCCAUUUUCCCAAUUCCCAUUCUCCAUUCCCAUUUUCCCAUUUUCCCUAUUUCCCCUUUUUCCCCAUUUCCCCAUUUCCUUUUUCCCCUUUUUUCCCAUUUUUCCAUUUUCCCCAUUCCCAUUUUCCCCAUUCCCAUUGUUUUCCCCAUUCCCAUUGUUUUCCCCUUUCCCCAUUCCCAUUUUCCCCUUUUUUUCCCCGUUCCCAUUUUCCCUUUUUUCCCAUUUCCCCAUUUUCCCCAUUUCCCCAUUCCCAUUUUUCCAAUUCCCCUUUUUUUCCCAUUUUCCGUUCCCCAUUUUCCCCAAUUCCCAUUUCCCAUUUUCCCCUUUUUUCCCCUUAUUCCCAUUCCCCAUUCCCUAUUUUCCUUUUUCCCCAUUUUUCCCCAUUCCCAUUUUUCCCCAUUUUUCCCCAUUUUUCCCCAUUUCCCAUUUUCCCAUUUUUCCAGAAUUCCCAUUUUCCCCAUUUUUUCCAUUCCCCAUUUUCCCAUUUCCCAUUUUCCCCAUUCCCAUUCCCAAUUUUCCUUUUUCCCCAUUUUUCCCCAUUUUUCCCCAUUUUCCCCCAUUUUUCCCCAUUCCCAUUUUUCCCCAUUUUUCCCCAUUUCCCCCAUUUUCCCCCAUUUUUCCCCAUUUCCCCAUUCCCAUUUUUCCCCAUUUUUCCCCAUUUUCCCCAUUUUCCCCCAUUUUUCCCCAU
This 1146-nucleotide long non-coding RNA is filed under the name Cyanistes caeruleus (blue tit). RNAcentral's name for it is "lncRNA (ENSCCEG00000001948.1)". The record is from RNAcentral. Lineage: Eukaryota; Metazoa; Chordata; Aves; Passeriformes; Paridae.